RNAcentral lists this ribosomal RNA (537 nucleotides) under Trigonopterus sp. 896 AR-2022a. Its description in RNAcentral is "partial large subunit ribosomal RNA". It matches the Rfam family "Archaeal large subunit ribosomal RNA", at positions 1952 to 2694 of the family's 2987-position model. The record is from RNAcentral. Lineage: Eukaryota; Metazoa; Arthropoda; Insecta; Coleoptera; Curculionidae.
GGCUUGUUGAUUAUAAUUUAAAGUUUGACCUGCCCAAUGAGUGAUUAAAUGGCCGCGGUAUAUUGACCGUGCAAAGGUAGCAUAAUCAUUAGUUUUUUAAUUGAAAGCUUGUAUGAAAGGUUUGAUGAGAAAAUUUCUGUCUCUGUGUAAGUUUAUUAGAAUUUUAUUUUUAAGUGAAAAAGCUUAAAUUUUUGUAGAAGACGAGAAGACCCUAUAGAGUUUUAUAUCAAUAUUUAAAUAAAUAUUUUAGGAAAUAAAAAGUUUUAUUUUUUUACGGAUAUUUUGUUGGGGUGACAGAAAAAUUGAUUAAACUUUUUUUAUACAGAGACACUUAUUUGUGGGUUUAUGAUCCUAGAGUUUAGAUUAUAAGAUUAAAUUACCUUAGGGAUAACAGCGUAAUCUUUUUUAGAGUUCUUAUCGAAAGAAAGGAUUGCGACCUCGAUGUUGAAUUAAAAUUUAUUAUUGGUGUAGAAGCUAAUAAAUUAGGUCUGUUCGACCUUUAAAAUUUUACAUGAUUUGAGUUUAAACCGGUGUGAG